Molecule: ribosomal RNA, 465 nt
Filed under: uncultured bacterium
Lineage: Bacteria
Description: partial 16S ribosomal RNA
Rfam family: Bacterial small subunit ribosomal RNA
Source: RNAcentral
CCUACGGGAGGCAGCAGUAGGGAAUUUUCGUCAAUGGGCGCAAGCCUGAACGAGCAAUGCCGCGUGAACGAGGAAGGUCUUCGGAUCGGAAAGUUCUGUUGAAGGGGAAAAAGAGCGGAGAGAGGAAAUGCUUUCUGAUUGAUAUUACCCUUCGUGGAAGUCACGGCUAACUCCGUCACAGCAGCCGCGGUAAUACGGAGGAUCCGGGCGUUAUCCGGAUUUAUUGGGUUUAAAGGGUGCGUAGAUGGGUUGGUAAGUCUGGUGUGAAAGUUUUCGGCUCAACCGGUAAAUGGCAAUUGAUACUGGCAGCCUUGAGUACAGUUGAGGGAGGCGGAAUUCGAGGUGUAGCGGUGAAAUGCGUAGAUAUCUCGAAGAACACCGGUGGCGAAGGCGGCCUACUAGACUGCCACUGACGUUGAGGCUCGAAAGUGUGGGUAGCAAACAGGAUUAGAUACCCUAGUAGUC